This 449-nucleotide ribosomal RNA is filed under the name uncultured bacterium. RNAcentral's name for it is "partial 16S ribosomal RNA". It matches the Rfam family "Bacterial small subunit ribosomal RNA", at positions 29 to 523 of the family's 1533-position model. The record is from RNAcentral.
AACGAACGCUGGCGGCAGGCUUAACACAUGCAAGUCGAACGAGAUCUUCGGAUCUAGUGGCAGACGGGUGAGGAACACGUGGGAACAUCCCUUUCAGUUCGGAAUAACGUUGGGAAACUAACGCUAAUACCGGAUACGUCCUUCGGGAGAAAGAUUUAUCGCUGAAAGAUUGGCCAGCGCCUGAUUAGCUAGUUGGUGAGGUAACGGCUCACCAAGGCUACGAUCAGUAGCUGAUCUGAGAGGAUGAUCAGCCACAUUGGGACUGAGACACGGCCCAAACUCCUACAGGCGGCAGCAGUGGGGAAUAUUGGACAAUGGGCGCAAGCCUGAUCCAGCCAUGCCGCGUGAGUGAUGACGGCCUUCGGGUUGUAAAGCUCUUUUGUCCGGGAAGAUAAUGACUGUACCGGAAGAAUAAGCCCCGGCAAACUUCGUGCCAGCCGCCGCGGUAA